RNAcentral lists this ribosomal RNA (459 nucleotides) under uncultured bacterium. RNAcentral's name for it is "partial 16S ribosomal RNA". It matches the Rfam family "Bacterial small subunit ribosomal RNA", at positions 338 to 795 of the family's 1533-position model. The record is from RNAcentral.
CCUACGGGCGGCAGCAGUGAGGAAUAUUGGUCAAUGGGCGCGAGCCUGAACCAGCCAAGUCGCGUGAGGGAAGACGGUCCUAUGGAUUGUAAACCUCUUUUGUCGGGGAGCAAUAUACGCCACGUGUGGCUUUCCGAGAGUACCCGAAGAAAAAGCAUCGGCUAACUCCGUGCCAGCAGCCGCGGUAAUACGGAGGAUGCGAGCGUUAUCCGGAUUUAUUGGGUUUAAAGGGUGCGCAGGCGGAAGAUCAAGUCAGCGGUAAAAUUGAGGGGCUCAACCCCUUCGAGCCGUUGAAACUGGUUUUCUUGAGUGAGCGAGAGGUAUGCGGAAUGCGUGGUGUAGCGAUGAAAUGCAUAGAUAUCACGCAGAACUCCGAUUGCGAAGGCAGCAUACCGGCGCUCAACUGACGCUGAUGCACGAAAGUGUGGGUAUCGAACAGGAUUAGAUACCCGAGUAGUC